GACGAACGCUGGCGGCGUGCUUAACACAUGCAAGUCGAACGGAAAGGCCCUGCUUGCAGGGUGCUCGAGUGGCGAACGGGUGAGUAACACGUGGGUGAUCUGCCCCUUACUUUGGGAUAAGCCUGGGAAACUGGGUCUAAUACUGGAUAGGACCAUGCUGUAGGUGGUGUGGUGGAAAGAUUAGUUUCGGUAAGGGAUGAGCUCGCGGCCUAUCAGCUUGUUGGUGGGGUAAUGGCCUACCAAGGCGUCGACGGGUAGCCGGCCUGAGAGGGUGGACGGCGACAUUGGGACUGAGAUACAGCCCAGACUCCUACGGGAGGCAGCAGUGGGGUAUAUUGCACAAUGGGCGCAAGCCUGAUGCAGCGACGCGGCGUGGGGGAUGACGGCGUUCGGGUUGUAAACACCUUUCAGCCAUGGCGAAGCCCUUGUGGUGACGGUAGUGGUAGAAGAAGCACCGGCUAACUACGUG
This 469-nucleotide ribosomal RNA is filed under the name uncultured bacterium. Its description in RNAcentral is "partial 16S ribosomal RNA". It matches the Rfam family "Bacterial small subunit ribosomal RNA", at positions 28 to 507 of the family's 1533-position model. The record is from RNAcentral.